Long non-coding RNA from Lycium barbarum (goji berry), 635 nucleotides. RefSeq lists it as uncharacterized. The record is from RefSeq and is a predicted model, not a curated record. Lineage: Eukaryota; Viridiplantae; Streptophyta; Magnoliopsida; Solanales; Solanaceae. The transcript is spliced from 3 exons.
AAAAAAAAAUAACAAGACAUUGGAGAGCUUCACCAAACCAUUGCUCACGGCUAAGGAGAGGGAAAAAGCAAGAUCAUUUUGAGCCUCUCUAAAAAUAUUUCUUUGGUACAAAUCAACUAAUUUAAGGUCCCUAAGUAGCGUGGAAGUAUUGUUUGGAUCAUCUAACCACUCAUUGUGUCCAAUUGCAAACCCUAGCCAUUUGUGGUAUUGAAGAAGAAAGACCUUGGGGAGCCCGAGGCGUAGAUUGGGAUUAACUUUAGAUCGGCUAGCUUGGAGUGCGUACGAGGGGCUGCGUUUCAUGCCCGCAGGUACAGACGCACAGUUUGGUGAUCCACCCGUUUAGGACAUCCUCUUCUGCUGUUUGGAGUGCUCUUCUCCUUUCAGAGCAUAUCUUUUGGUAUAUAUUUUUGUUCGCUAUGUAUGUAUAUAUUCGUUCAGGGGUACGGCGGGGCCCUGUCUCGCCAUAUGUUUCGUUUGGUCUGUUUAGAGGUCUGUAGACGUAUUUGUGGGUGUGUGUGCCUACUUCGGUACAGAUGUGUUUGUAUGACCCUAUUCGUUAUGGCAGCCUUGUCGGCGUGCACUUUGUAUAUGUUUUGGGCCGGUGCGCCAUUUGAUAGCCUUGUCGGCUUUUGAUA